UGGGGAAUAUUGGACAAUGCGGGAAACCGUGAUCCAGCAAUGCCGCGUGAGUGAUGAAGGCCUUAGGGUUGUAAAGCUCUUUUACCAGGGAUGAUAAUGACAGUACCUGGAGAAUAAGCUCCGGCUAACUCCGUGCCAGCAGCCGCGGUAAUACGGAGGGUGCAAGCGUUAUCCGGAAUCACUGGGCGUAAAGGGCACGUAGGCGGUCUAGUAAGUCCGAUGUUAAAGCGUGGGGCUCAACCCCAUCACGGCGUUGGAUACUGCUAGGCUUGACGACUGGAGAGGUGAGUAGAAUUACCAGUGUAGCGGUGGAAUGCGUAGAUACUGGUAGGAAUACCCAUUGCGAAGGCAGCUCACUGGACAGUACGUGACGCUGAGGUGCGAAAGUGUGGGGAGCAAACCGGAUUAGAUACCCCUGUAGUCC
RNAcentral lists this ribosomal RNA (424 nucleotides) under uncultured prokaryote. RNAcentral describes it as "bacterial SSU rRNA". It matches the Rfam family "Bacterial small subunit ribosomal RNA", at positions 355 to 796 of the family's 1533-position model. The record is from RNAcentral.